GAGCUUCGGUUAAUUUUUUGUCUGAAUAAAGAAGCCCACAGACCAAACUAUUCAUCCUGUCUUCGCCGUUUUCUCUCUUCCACAUCGUAGACCUAAUCUGUUGAGCCUUUCGACUCCCACCCCUCCUGUUUCUCAUCUUUUCAUAUCAUUUUUGACGAUUAAUUCACCCUACCAUCUCUAAUCAAUCCUUCCCAAACUCAUUCAAUUGAUUCCUUUCACCUUCUUCUCUGCUUUUCUAUUUAUAAGCUUUUUCAUUUCUUUUUGACGAUUAAUUUCUUAUUUCUCAUCUCUUAAACACUCAACCUGAUGGAUCCCACCGGAAACUCUUCACUCUCCAGCAUCCGCGAGAACGGCAAGAAGACCGUCGCCUCCUCUGCAAAUCCGAAACCAAACGGGAAGUCCAUUGAUUCCUCCGCCGCUAUGGAGAAACCUAAGGAGAAGACUGCUUUGUUGUCCACCAAUUCGAUGAAACCAAACCGCUGCGGCAUAAGAGAAAUGCAGGAGGCCGUCAUUGUGGUGUUGGAUCGCUGUGCGAGAAGAAGGUUGUGUCUUUUAGUUCUGCAACUCCCUCUCAAAUGAUUUCUAUAAAUAAUCUCCCUUGAUUUCAGUUCACAAAAGUAUUGAUGUAUAUUUUAAGUUUCUCUCUAAAACUUCUUUUGUCAUAGCGACUGAGUUCAAUCGUUCCACUUCUACACAAUCAAAAGACAAGAGGCAGUGCACUUUAGGGCAUAGCGUAAGGAGAGGAAGUUGAUUACCGUACGGCGGAUUGCCUCGCUGAAGAAUAAGGUAGCGGUUGAUUUCCACCACCAUAGUCGUUACUGACAUCGCUGGAAACAAAAAGGAAAAAAGAUGCCAAGCAAGAAGCUUUCAGGAAGUAUUUAGAGUUCAGUAGAGUUAUUGAUUCUCUAACCAAAGAAUGAUAAGUCUUCCUCUGCUUUAGAGUCAGUUAAGUUCCUGGACACCUACUUUGUUUCUAACCAGUAUGUACCCAGGUGAUGAUAGCUUCUAAGAACUUUGUCGGGUGGAACUGGGUUGCUCUUGCCAGGCAGUCAUGGUACUGCUGUGGAGUCACGCAAGAAGCCAGCCAGUCAUGGUUUUGGAGAUAUUGUUGUUCUAGGGGAGUCAAUUUCUGUAACCGAAGCUGAGGCUAGAGCUAUUUUGAUGGCGGUGCAGAGUACACGGUUCAUGGGUUAUGAGAAUGUGAUUUUUGAAAGUAACUGUAACUCCUUGGUGCAAAGUCUGAAUGGAAAUGAUCAUUGUUUCCAUAUUCAGAAUGUCUUACUUGAUAUUCGGUUAUGGUCGUCUCAUUUCAAGGGGUGUCAUUUCCUCUUUGUGAAGCGUCAAGAAAAGGAAGCAGCUCACUUCUUGGCCCGACAUAGUCCUCAAAAUAACAUUUUCUUUUCAAGUUGUCCAUUUCUACCUUUUUGGUUAGCUCCAAUUUUGUAUAAAGAUUAUGUUACUUCUUCUGAUUAUUAAUACAUAUCUGUUUUCCGAAAAA
Long non-coding RNA from Raphanus sativus (radish), 1498 nucleotides. RefSeq lists it as uncharacterized. The record is from RefSeq and is a predicted model, not a curated record. NCBI's taxonomy places the organism in Eukaryota, Viridiplantae, Streptophyta, Magnoliopsida, Brassicales, Brassicaceae. The transcript is spliced from 4 exons.